This 252-nucleotide ribosomal RNA is filed under the name uncultured bacterium. RNAcentral describes it as "partial 16S ribosomal RNA". It matches the Rfam family "Bacterial small subunit ribosomal RNA", at positions 524 to 776 of the family's 1533-position model. The record is from RNAcentral.
UACGAAGGGGGCUAGCGUUGCUCGGAAUUACUGGGCGUAAGGGCGCGUAGGCGGACAGUUAAGUCAGAGGUGAAAGCCCAGGGCUCAACCCUGGAAUUGCCUUUGAUACUGGCUGUCUUGAGUACGGGAGAGGUGUGUGGAACUCCGAGUGUAGAGGUGAAAUUCGUAGAUAUUCGGAAGAACACCAGUGGCGAAGGCGACACACUGGCCCGUUACUGACGCUGAGGCGCGAAAGCGUGGGGAGCAAACAGG